AACGAACGCUGGCGGCAUGCCUAACACAUGCAAGUCGAACGAAGGCUUCGGCCUUAGUGGCGCACGGGUGCGUAACGCGUGGGAAUCUGCCCCUCGGUUCGGAAUAACAGUUAGAAAUGACUGCUAAUACCGGAUGAUGACUGCGGACGAAAGAUUUAUCGCCGGGGGAUGAGCCCGCGUAAGAGUAGGUAGUGGGUGGGGUAAAGGCCUACCAAGCCGACGAUCUUUAGCUGGUCUGAGAGGAUGAUCAGCCACACUGGGACUGAGACACGGCCCAGACUGCUACGGGAGGCAGGAGUGGGGAAUAUUGGACAAUGGGCGAAAGCCUGAUCCAGCAAUGCCGCGUGAGUGAUGAAGGCCUUAGGGUUGUAAAGCUCUUUUACCAGGGAUGAUAAUGACAGUACCUGGAGAAUAAGCUCCGGCUAACUCCGUGCCAGCCGCCGCAGUAA
RNAcentral lists this ribosomal RNA (449 nucleotides) under uncultured bacterium. RNAcentral's name for it is "partial 16S ribosomal RNA". It matches the Rfam family "Bacterial small subunit ribosomal RNA", at positions 29 to 523 of the family's 1533-position model. The record is from RNAcentral.